UACGAAGGGGGCUAGCGUUGUUCGGAAUUACUGGGCGUAAAGCGUAUGCAGGCGGAUCGUUGAGUCGGGGGUGAAAUCCCGAGGCUCAACCUCGGAACUGCCUUCGAUACUGGCGACCUUCGAGUCCGGGAGAGGUGAGUGGAACUCCGAGUGUAGAGGUGAAAUUCGUAGAUAUUCGGAAGAACACCAGUGGCGAAGGCGGCUCACUGGCCCGGUACUGACGCUGAGGAGCGAAAGCGUGGGGAGCGAACAGG
Molecule: ribosomal RNA, 254 nt
Filed under: uncultured bacterium
Lineage: Bacteria
Description: partial 16S ribosomal RNA
Rfam family: Bacterial small subunit ribosomal RNA
Source: RNAcentral